GCCUGCAUUAGCACGAUGCUCGGGGUAGACAGUGAUCAACCUCAGGACCUGUGAGCACUUCAGUAGCAGCUCCAUCCAAGGGUCAGAUGAGACACAAAAGGAGACCAAAAAAAAAAAAAAUCUCUUUAGCUACUUGGCAGGAAAAUCAUAUAAAAGGAAGGCUUCAGAUUGUGUUGGCAUCUCGUCUUUCCAGGAAAGCGAGGAAGGGCUUCAUGAGAGUGCCUUCGUGUAGCCACUGAUUUCAUGACAGCUGACACUUCAGAUGUUAAGACCUUCCUCCAGAACAUGAUCCAGUCACAGCCCAGCUGAUCCUGCCUCCCUCACAUCUUCCAUCAUCCCACUCCAUUCAAUGAGGAGGAGGAGCUAGCUAUGAGACUCAUUGGUGAUGACUCACCUGCCAGUCUGGGCUCCUUCAAUAUCCCCUCAUUAACAGUGACAUGAGUCUAUGUCGAGGAUGGAAAGACAGAAGUUUACAACCUGCUCAACCCUGUUCCAGGCACCAGAAGGCAAAGCAAGAGCCUAUCAUUAUCUCCUCAGCUCAGGUUCUUUGAGAAAAUUGCCAGUGCUGAACAAUAGGAGGGAGGAGAGAGGUCUGAGGCCCUGUUGGUGACUUUCCUCAUGCUGCCAUCUUAUUAUACCCAAAUUUUACUUUGGGUGAAAUAAAUGAGAAUAAAAAUGGACAAAUGCUUGCUGAGCAGAAAACUAAAGCAAGGUGACAUUUACAUGUUUGGCAAGUUCUUCUUAACUCGUGACAGUCUUGGAAGUUGCUUCUCAGCACAUGUUGUGACACUACAUAAUGGAGCCUUCCCCAUGGAGACGGGAGCUCCCUCCUUCUGGGCUGUGUGGCCUUUCCAACAUUGGAUCUAGUGAUCAAUGUAUCUCCUCUCAGGAUUGGGGGUCCCAUGACUGUUCUCACUCAUCCUGUCCCUCUAGAAUCCAUCCAGGAGAGCAGAAGCCCCUCAAGGGCAGGAAUCCUCUCUCCCCCUGUAGCCAGAGACCAGCAGAACUAAAGAGGUGGGUAAGAGGCUAAGGCACAGAUCCGGGGAGGGGCUCCUGACCUGGGGCCCUUCAGCCAGGUGACCUCACUAGAGGAUGGCAGGAGGAGACAUAUUUGAGUCUUUAGUGGAGAGUGUGGUGGUGGUGGUAGGAGGGAGACAUAGUGGCAAUCCCCCCAUAGAGAGAGGGCCUGGGACUGGUUCUCUUCAAUGGAAGUGGCAUUCUGGGGGGCUCCCAAGGGUCCUAUGUCUUUUAAAAUAAA
Molecule: long non-coding RNA, 1258 nt
Organism: Canis lupus familiaris (dog)
Lineage: Eukaryota; Metazoa; Chordata; Mammalia; Carnivora; Canidae
Exons: 3
Source: RefSeq, a predicted model, not a curated record